AUUGAACGCUGGCGGCUGGCCUAACACAUGCAAGUCGAGCGGAUGAAGGGAGCUUGCUCCUGGAUUCAGCGGCGGACGGGUGAGUAAUGCCUAGGAAUCUGCCUGGUAGUGGGGGAUAACGUCCGGAAACGGGCGCUAAUACCGCAUACGUCCUGAGGGAGAAAGUGGGGGAUCUUCGGACCUCACGCUAUCAGAUGAGCCUAGGUCGGAUUAGCUAGUUGGUGGGGUAAAGGCCUACCAAGGCGACGAUCCGUAACUGGUCUGAGAGGAUGAUCAGUCACACUGGAACUGAGACACGGUCCAGACUCCUACGGGAGGCAGCAGUGGGGAAUAUUGGACAAUGGGCGAAAGCCUGAUCCAGCCAUGCCGCGUGUGUGAAGAAGGUCUUCGGAUUGUAAAGCACUUUAAGUUGGGAGGAAGGGCAGUAAGUUAAUACCUUGCUGUUUUGACGGUACCAACAGAAUAAGCACCGGCUAACUUCGUG
This 484-nucleotide ribosomal RNA is filed under the name uncultured bacterium. Its description in RNAcentral is "partial 16S ribosomal RNA". It matches the Rfam family "Bacterial small subunit ribosomal RNA", at positions 30 to 507 of the family's 1533-position model. The record is from RNAcentral.